UACGAAGGGGGCUAGCGUUGCUCGGAAUCACUGGGCGUAAAGGGCGCGUAGGCGGCCAUUCAAGUCGGGGGUGAAAGCCUGUGGCUCAACCACAGAAUUGCCUUCGAUACUGUUUGGCUUGAGUAUGGUAGAGGUCGGUGGAACUGCGAGUGUAGAGGUGAAAUUCGUAGAUAUUCGCAAGAACACCAGUGGCGAAGGCGGCCGACUGGACCAUUACUGACGCUGAGGCGCGAAAGCGUGGGGAGCAAACAGG
This 253-nucleotide ribosomal RNA is filed under the name uncultured bacterium. RNAcentral describes it as "partial 16S ribosomal RNA". It matches the Rfam family "Bacterial small subunit ribosomal RNA", at positions 524 to 776 of the family's 1533-position model. The record is from RNAcentral. RNAcentral also lists the same sequence under 1 other name.